GAUAAUUAUAAUUUAAAUGUUAAGUGAAAAUCUCAAGACAAACGCGAUUUUCCUUAUUCAACUUCAUUAGCUGAAAAUGUAGUACAGGUUUGCGCCACCACUUUUUUUGAAGUGGGCGUUCUUUAGAGGAGUUGGAAAUUAUGUCAUUAAACAAUCAACGAAAUAAUUUGCAGGUGUGACGAUGGCUAACGACCACAACAACCUUUUUAACGCAUACACUCGCACACACACACAGAUUUCUUUAAAUGUGUUGUUAAAAAUUGGUUUUGCUAAUCUCAGUUCAAGUGAAAGCGGCUUCAACUUGUGACGAUGAAUUGGAGUUUAAACGACAUUGAAUUGAAGAAACUAUUCUCUUUCUGGUUAAAAAUGUCAGAAUUUCUGCUUUGUAAGAUUGAAUG
This is a long non-coding RNA of Lucilia cuprina (Australian sheep blowfly), 398 nucleotides long. RefSeq lists it as uncharacterized. Lineage: Eukaryota; Metazoa; Arthropoda; Insecta; Diptera; Calliphoridae. The record is from RefSeq and is a predicted model, not a curated record. The transcript is spliced from 4 exons.